This 1365-nucleotide long non-coding RNA is filed under the name Ricinus communis (castor bean). RNAcentral's name for it is "long non-coding RNA (RCOM_LNC000471)". The record is from RNAcentral. Lineage: Eukaryota; Viridiplantae; Streptophyta; Magnoliopsida; Malpighiales; Euphorbiaceae.
UUUAAACAGUCGACACAGCCGGUCCCAAGCCCGGAUAAAGGAGGAGGGUUAUCAUCAUGUCGGAGAUCAAAUUUUGGUCGCGCACUGUUUACACCGCAUUUCUCCAGCUGCCCGAUCCUAGUGUAGCUUGCAGAAGAAGGGAACUCGAACCCUUUUUUUCUAAAAUCAAAUAGAAGAAGAUCUUGGUUCCUGGAUACUGCUGCUGUUGAAGGGCGACCUUGAAUUAAUCUUGCUGAAAAGGUUAGUGUCAUUCUCGCUUCUUGGUUUUUCAAUUUUUUUUCCAACUAUAAUUGCUGUCGGAUUUAUUUCAAGAUUUCCAUUUCUAUGAAGAUUCCAAUUUAAUCCGGUUCUGUUCUUAAUAAGAGUAGGAGUGUAUUGUUAAACAGUUUGUUGAUAUGUUGCUAUUACGGAUCCAAUUAUUUGGCAAACCAUAAUUUGUUUCUGAUCAAAAAAUUAAAACGAAAUUUUUUUAAUGACAGUAAUACUCCAUUCAUUCCACUGUAGCAGUCUCUUCUACAAAUAAUUUUUUUAAAAUUAUUUAUCACUUUUAUAUAUCAAAUACAACAUUAUCUUUUUUAUUUUAUUUUAUCUUUAUGUUGAAAUAUAUUUAAUAAAAUUUGAAAUAUCAUAAAAGAGUAGAUUAGCUAGUUUUCUCUAUAAUUAAUUAUAUUAAAUGUUUUUUUUUUAAUUCAAGUGAAUUACUAAAAAGGUGAUAUUUAUAAUAAAAUAUAGAGAAUAUUUUUUAGUGUUUGGUUAUGUACAAAUAACUUUUGAAAGUUAUUUUGAGUUUUUGGAAUAUCUCAGAAGUUAUAAAAUACGUACACUUAUAAAAGCUUUGUAUUCUUAAGUUGUGAUCAAAUUUUAAAAAAGAAAACUAUUAACACUUUUUCUUUAAUCUGUAUUUGGAGGGACAAUCUUUAAUGCAGUUACUGUUUCUGUAAUGGAGGGACAAAGACAAACUAUUCUGUAGAUCAGUUAUCCUAAAAGAUUUGAGGAGAGUCUGCUUCAAUUGGUUUGCAUGAGAACUUUGCCGAUUUGGAGAGACAACUUGUUUGCAAUCAGCAUCGAUCAGAGACACCCACAUAUCUGCCUGAUGAGCCAUAUAUGCCUACAAAAUCAAUUGCACUGAUACCAGUAAUUUGUGUGAGAACUAUUAAUAACUGUAUUGAUGAUGUACAACUAUAAAUUACUAGUUUUUCUAAUAUAGUUAGUGAUGAUCAAGGUGAGAUUAUAUUUUGGAAUGAGAUGCCAUGUAUAAUUCAGGGGCGGUCCAGUGGAAUAAUCCACUAAAAAAAUCGUCUGAGAAUCCUCAGUUGUAUACGAAUGUCCCUUAAUUAUAAAGGAUCCAUAUACAUUAUAAUUGAG